RNAcentral lists this ribosomal RNA (497 nucleotides) under uncultured bacterium. RNAcentral describes it as "partial 16S ribosomal RNA". It matches the Rfam family "Bacterial small subunit ribosomal RNA", at positions 28 to 507 of the family's 1533-position model. The record is from RNAcentral.
GAUGAACGCUGGCGGCGUGCCUAAUACAUGCAAGUCGAGCGAACAGACGAGGAGCUUGCUCCUCUUACGUUAGCGGCGGACGGGUGAGUAACACGUGGAUAACCUACCUAUAAGACUGGGAUAACUUCGGGAAACCGGAGCUAAUACCGGAUAACAUGUUGAACCGCAUGGUUCAACAGUGAAAGACGGUCUUGCUGUCACUUAUAGAUGGAUCCGCGCCGCAUUAGCUAGUUGGUAAGGUAACGGCUUACCAAGGCAACGAUGCGUAGCCGACCUGAGAGGGUGAUCGGCCACACUGGAACUGAGACACGGUCCAGACUCCUACGGGAGGCAGCAGUAGGGAAUCUUCAGAAAUGGGCGAAAGCCUGACGGAGAAACGACGCGUGAGUGAAGAAGGUCUUCGGAUCGUAAAACUCUGUUAUUAGGGAAGAACAAAUGUGUAAGUAACUAGGCACGUCUUGACGGUACCUAAUCAGAAAGCCACGGCUAACUACGUG